GAUGAACGCUAGCGACAUGCCUAAUACAUGCAAGUCGAGCGAACGCACCAGAAACUUCCUUCUCUGAUGUUACCGCCGGCCGGGCAAGUAACACGUAGGUAACCUACCUCUAAGACUGGGUUAAGAUCAAGCAACCGAAGCUAAUACCAGUUAAUAUUUACAACCGCAUAAUUCAACAGUAAAAGACGGUAUUGCUAUCACUUAUGGAUGGGUCCGCGCUGCAUUAGCUAGUUGGUAGGGUAACGGCUUACCAAGGCAACGAUCAGUAGGGGUUCUGAGAGGAAGGUCCCCGACAUGGGAACUGAGACACGGUCCAAACGCCUAGGGGAGGCAGCAGUGAGGAAUAUUGGUCAAUGGGCGAGAGCCUGAACCAGCCAAGUAGCGUGCAGGAUGACGGCCCUAUGGGUUGUAAACUGCUUUUAUAAGGGAAUAAAGUGGGUCUCGUGAGACUUUUUGCAUGUACCUUAUGAAUAAGGACCGGCUAAUUCCGUG
RNAcentral lists this ribosomal RNA (492 nucleotides) under uncultured bacterium. Its description in RNAcentral is "partial 16S ribosomal RNA". It matches the Rfam family "Bacterial small subunit ribosomal RNA", at positions 28 to 507 of the family's 1533-position model. The record is from RNAcentral.